AAAACUUUCAACAAUGGAUCUCUUGGUUCCGGCAUCGAUGAAGAACGCAGCGAAAUGCGAUAACUAAUGUGAAUUGCAGAAUUCAGUGAAUCAUCGAGUCUUUGAACGCACAUUGCGCCCCCUGGUAUUCCGGGGGGCAUGCCUGUCCGAGCGUCAUUUCUCC
Molecule: ribosomal RNA, 163 nt
Filed under: Aspergillus japonicus
Lineage: Eukaryota; Fungi; Ascomycota; Eurotiomycetes; Eurotiales; Aspergillaceae
Also listed under: 1 other name
Description: 5.8S ribosomal RNA
Rfam family: 5.8S ribosomal RNA
About the family: 5.8S ribosomal RNA (5.8S rRNA) is a component of the large subunit of the eukaryotic ribosome.
Source: RNAcentral